Long non-coding RNA from Scophthalmus maximus (turbot), 1747 nucleotides. RefSeq lists it as uncharacterized. Lineage: Eukaryota; Metazoa; Chordata; Actinopteri; Pleuronectiformes; Scophthalmidae. The transcript has 6 exons. The record is from RefSeq and is a predicted model, not a curated record.
CUCCAAUGUCUAGAUGGUAUUUAUCAACAGUUCUUGCCAUAAAUUAGCCUUAGCUAUGUAUUUGACAUUGUAAGGACAGAUGGUGUUUGCUUUUAAAUACUAGGUUGGGUAAUAUAUACGUAUUAAUGUUGUACGUUAUUCAUAUGAGCUAAACUGAUUACAUUUAGUUAGAAGAAAAAAAGAAAAAUCAGAGAUCAUUUUACACUGCAAAUAAUUAAAUUCAUAUAUAAUGUGAUAGAAAAGUUUUCAUAUUUGCCUUUAUUUGUUUUUUGCAUCCUUUUCCAAAAAUGCUGAUACACAGCCAUCUUUAACACGAAAAGGACAUGAGUGCUUCAUCAAAAAAAAGGCCAACUGUGUGUUCAUGUUUUCCUCAGCAACGACCACUUGACCUAACAAUAAUUGUCUUCAACAGUAGCACAGCAUGAAGUUGCUAUAUCAUGCAAAAGGAAAAGAGCUUGGCCCGUCUUGGGCAGUGAAAUAAUCUUAGAUGGUAUAAUUGAGAAGACAUCUCCAAGUGUACAGGACCUAACUGUCACAGGCAUCCCGAUCCAAACCACCAUGAUUGAUGUUAUUACUCUUAUGGACCAAUGAAAAGUGAUACAUGUGCUGCAAAAGGCUCUCAAAAAAAAGGAUUUGCAGACUUCUAUCGAGUGUGUGAACAAUGCUGAUGGGUAUCCCGGUGUUGUCGUGUAUGAUAAUGAAACACUUCCCAUUUCUUCCCAUCAUGGUGCUGCACAGGCGGUGGGCCACGGCGAUGGACCAGGCCCUCACAGUUCUGUGGUAGUUUUCCAAUCAGCCCGUGAUGAAGACAAUGAGGAUAGUACAACGUUGUGGGCUUCUCCACAGACUUUCAGAGAUUCCAACGGCAGUCUUGAGGAUGAGGUUGACGAAGACGGACAACUGUGAAACACCAGGCAUCAACAGAAUCGUUUAAAAUGUCUAUAAGAAUUUGAAACGCUAUAUACAUGAGCUUCUUCUUUAUAUAUUUUUUGCUAUUUUUUUUUACUAUUUUUCGUUUGUAUUUUAUGCAAUGUACACUAACCUUAACCUUGUAUAACAGUGUUUUGCUUGGACACUUUGGUGAUGUUCGGAUCAAAUUGACCCAUUGUUUGGGUUUUAAAUAAUAAUCAUUUUGUAUAUUGUCUAAACUGUCUCCUUAACCAACCUUGCAUCCUAGAAAUUCCUCUGUGCAUAUAAGGAACAGCAAACACAUACAUUUUCUUUUAACAUAAUUAAUACAUGUUUGUAAUUUAUGUGGAGAGCGAACUAGUAAAAUGUUCACACUGAACGCAUUCUGUUGUCUGCCUGAAUAUCUAGUCUUGCUGCAUUUCAUCUUGUAGUGACGACAGCAUUAUUAAACUUUUCUGGCACUCACAGUACUUUGGUUGAUGUUGGGGACCUAUCGUGGUCUAAAUAACGUUGAGUUAAAGGUCCAGCAGUAUUAAUAAGUAGGCUGGUUGUGUCACUUGCUGAUCUAGUGUAGAAGGAAAACAAACUGCAUGUUGUUUUUGUCGCCUCUCAAGUCCCGGAGCUCUCUCCACAGAGUGAAGGCCCGUCCAAGGUUCACAACGGGAUUAUUUUUCCCAUGUGAGGUUGUGGUUGUUGUUUUUUUGUCAAUUUGGCUGUUCCAUCGUCUGCCAUUUUCAUCACAAGACAAAAUGAAGACAGUGCUUAAAGUUGAGGUCUGUACUCAACUUUAAACACAUUAAACUUGGAUUAAAUACUGAAUAAAACAAAAUUAAAAUAA